Molecule: ribosomal RNA, 436 nt
Filed under: Margarya bicostata
Lineage: Eukaryota; Metazoa; Mollusca; Gastropoda; Architaenioglossa; Viviparidae
Description: partial 16S ribosomal RNA
Rfam family: Bacterial large subunit ribosomal RNA
Source: RNAcentral
UUAAACGGCCGCGGUAUUUUGACCGUGCGAAGGUAGCAUAAUCAAUUGUCUUAUAAUUGAAGACUGGAAUGAAUGGUUGAACGAAAUUAAAACUGUUUCAUUUAUAUUAAUUAGAAAUUGAUUUUUAAAUGAAGAGAUUUAAAUUUAAUUAAUAGACAAAAAGACCCUAUUGAGCUUUAAAUAACUUUAAAAUUAAAAAUUUAUUAUUAUAGAUUUAAAUUUUAAAUGUUUUUUGGUUGGGGCGACUAAGGAACAGGUGAAGCUUCCUUUAUUUGUUAGAUUGAUGGAUUUUGAUCCAGUAUUAAACUGAUUAAUAAAAAUAGUUACCAUAGGGAUAACAGCAUAAUCUUCUUGGAGAGUUCUUAUCAAAAGGGGGGGUUGUGACCUCGAUGUUGGAUUAAAAUAUCCUAAAGGUGUAGAGGCUUUUAAGGGUUGG